CUACGGGGGGCUGCAGUGAGGAAUAUUGCACAAUGGGGGGAACCCUGAUGCAGCAACGCCGCGUGGAGGAUGACGCAUUUCGGUGUGUAAACUCCUUUUAUAUGUCAAGAAGAUGACGGUAGCAUAUGAAUAAGCACCGGCUAACUCCGUGCCAGCAGCCGCGGUAAUACGGAGGGUGCAAGCGUUACUCGGAAUCACUGGGCGUAAAGGACGCGUAGGCGGGUUGGAAAGUCAGGUGUGAAAUCCUACAGCUUAACUGUAGAACUGAACUUGAAACUUCUAAUCUUGAGUAUGGGAGGGGGAGAUGGAAUUAGUGGUGUAGGGGUAAAAUCCGUAGAUAUCACUAGGAAUACCUAAAGCGAAGGCGAUCUCCUGGAACAUUACUGACGCUAAGGCGUGAAAGCGUGGGGAGCAAACAGGAUUAGAUACCCCCGUAGUC
RNAcentral lists this ribosomal RNA (439 nucleotides) under uncultured bacterium. RNAcentral's name for it is "partial 16S ribosomal RNA". It matches the Rfam family "Bacterial small subunit ribosomal RNA", at positions 339 to 795 of the family's 1533-position model. The record is from RNAcentral.